Molecule: ribosomal RNA, 468 nt
Filed under: uncultured bacterium
Lineage: Bacteria
Description: partial 16S ribosomal RNA
Rfam family: Bacterial small subunit ribosomal RNA
Source: RNAcentral
GACGAACGCUGGCGGCGUGCUUAACACAUGCAAGUCGAACGGAAAGGCCCUGCUUUUGUGGGGUGCUCGAGUGGCGAACGGGUGAGUAACACGUGAGUAACCUGCCCUUGACUUUGGGAUAACUUCAGGAAACUGGGGCUAAUACCGGAUAGGAGCUCCUGCUGCAUGGUGGGGGUUGGAAAGUUUCGGCGGUUGGGGAUGGACUCGCGGCUUAUCAGCUUGUUGGUGGGGUAGUGGCUUACCAAGGCUUUGACGGGUAGCCGGCCUGAGAGGGUGACCGGCCACAUUGGGACUGAGGUACGGCCCAGACUCCUACGGGAGGCAGCAGUGGGGAAUAUUGCACAAUGGGCGGAAGCCUGAUGCAGCAACGCCGCGUGCGGGAUGACGGCCUUCGGGUUGUAAACCGCUUUCGCCUGUGACGAAGCGUGAGUGACGGUAAUGAGUAAAGAAGCACCGGCUAACUACGUG